This 494-nucleotide ribosomal RNA is filed under the name Alternaria alternata. RNAcentral's name for it is "eukaryotic LSU rRNA". The stretch from base 135 to 288 matches the Rfam family "5.8S ribosomal RNA". Lineage: Eukaryota; Fungi; Ascomycota; Dothideomycetes; Pleosporales; Pleosporaceae. The record is from RNAcentral.
GGUUACAGCCUUGUCUGAAUUAUUCACCCUUGUCUUUUGCGUACUUCUUGUUUCCUUGGUGGGUUCGCCCACCACUAGGACAAACAUAAACCUUUUGUAAUUGCAAUCAGCGUCAGUAACAAAUUAAUAAUUACAACUUUCAACAACGGAUCUCUUGGUUCUGGCAUCGAUGAAGAACGCAGCGAAAUGCGAUAAGUAGUGUGAAUUGCAGAAUUCAGUGAAUCAUCGAAUCUUUGAACGCACAUUGCGCCCUUUGGUAUUCCAAAGGGCAUGCCUGUUCGAGCGUCAUUUGUACCCUCAAGCUUUGCUUGGUGUUGGGCGUCUUGUCUCUAGCUUUGCUGGAGACUCGCCUUAAAGUAAUUGGCAGCCGGCCUACUGGUUUCGGAGCGCAGCACAAGUCGCACUCUCUAUCAGCAAAGGUCUAGCAUCCAUUAAGCCUUUUUUUCAACUUUUGACCUCGGAUCAGGUAGGGAUACCCGCUGAACUUAAGCAUA